This 383-nucleotide ribosomal RNA is filed under the name uncultured bacterium. RNAcentral's name for it is "bacterial SSU rRNA". It matches the Rfam family "Bacterial small subunit ribosomal RNA", at positions 28 to 417 of the family's 1533-position model. The record is from RNAcentral.
GACGAACGCUGGCGGCGUGCUUAACACAUGCAAGUCGAGCGGUAAGGCUCCUUCGGGAGUACACGAGCGGCGAACGGGUGAGUAACACGUGAGCAAUCUGCCCUUCACAUCGGGAUAACUUCGGGAAACCGAAGCUAAUACCGGAUACGACCAUCGGUGGCAUCACCUGGUGGUGGAAAGUUCCGGCGGUGAAGGAUGAGCUCGCGGCCUAUCAGCUUGUUGGUGGAAUGGCCACCAAGGCGACGACGGUAGCCGGCCUGAGAGGGUGACCGGCCACACUGGGACUGAGACACGGCCCAGACUCCUACGGGAGGCAGCAGUGGGGAAUAUUGGACAAUGGGCGAAAGCCUGAUCCAGCAACGCCGCGUGAGGGAUGACGGCCU